Molecule: long non-coding RNA, 942 nt
Organism: Manihot esculenta (cassava)
Lineage: Eukaryota; Viridiplantae; Streptophyta; Magnoliopsida; Malpighiales; Euphorbiaceae
Exons: 2
Source: RefSeq, a predicted model, not a curated record
AAAAAAUCCAUGGUAUCAAAACGAGGAGUUUAAUAACUGGACGAAGCAGCCGGACUUAGCCGACACUUUUUCUGCAAUUAGGGCGCUUGCUUUGCGAUUAUGAACAGUGAGGCGACGACAAUGAUGGAGCUCGAAGUCGAGCCCAAGUAAGGCAUCAGAUUCGCUCAAAAGGAUCAAGCCCUUAUAGGACAGUAUUAAGAUUGUCAAAUGAACUGGCCAUGCUUGAUUUCCAGUGAAACACCUAUUCUGUUGCGUAUAUUCUAUGGACGAAGUGGAUGGCAAUUGUCGAAGCAGAUGAACUUGUCGAAAGUGGAGUGUAUUAACAUCAUGGGACAUGCCAUAUUGCACUGGCGGUACAUAGCACGAAUAGACUUGUAUAAGUAGCUGCUGAAAGAUACAAGGUAUGCAAAUCUUUUAUUUAUAUGGUGAAAUAUUUCAUUCCAUACAAACAACUUGGUUAAUUAGUAACCCCCUACUUACAGUCAGCACAAUGUUUUGGAUAAUUAAUGCAUAAUAAUUAAAACUUCAGCAUUUGAGUUUAGGGUUCAGUUCAUUGAUCUGCUUGUCGAUUAAAGAAUCUUUGCUUUGCAUUUGCCCGUCUUUAUCCUUUAGACCAAAAAGACAUAGCACCUGCCUUAUAGCCCAUUGAUUUUGUGGUACCCAUCCCAUUGAAGGUGGAGCUGAAACAUCUGCCAUGGAUUAUGCUCCUCUGUACCUGACAUUGCUUUUUUACUGACCUCGGCAUACUACACUCUAUCUGUAGUCAGUGAUGAAACUUGUCACUGAUCUAGAUUUAAACAUGACACAAACAUGUAUGCAUGGUAUUCCUUGACAAUUUUGAAUGCAGCGCAUAAAAUUUUGUCUUAAAUAUAGUGGGGAUCAAAUUGAAUUAUAUGUAGGCCUGUGCUUAAAGUUAUGCAGUUAAUUUGUUCUCUUGUGCAA